Molecule: ribosomal RNA, 207 nt
Filed under: uncultured bacterium
Lineage: Bacteria
Description: partial 16S ribosomal RNA
Rfam family: Bacterial small subunit ribosomal RNA
Source: RNAcentral
CACGUAGGCGGAUUUGCCAGUCAGGGGUGAAAUCCCGGGGCUCAACCUCGGAACUGCCUCUGAUACAGCAAGUCUUGAGUUCGAGAGAGGUGGGUGGAAUUCCUAGUGUAGAGGUGAAAUUCGUAGAUAUUAGGAAGAACACCGGUGGCGAAGGCGGCCCACUGGCUCGAUACUGACGCUGAGGUGCGAAAGCGUGGGGAGCAAACA